RNAcentral lists this ribosomal RNA (2458 nucleotides) under Verrucomicrobiaceae bacterium. RNAcentral describes it as "partial 23S ribosomal RNA". It matches the Rfam family "Bacterial large subunit ribosomal RNA", at positions 1 to 2455 of the family's 2925-position model. Lineage: Bacteria; Pseudomonadati; Verrucomicrobiota; Verrucomicrobiia; Verrucomicrobiales; Verrucomicrobiaceae. The record is from RNAcentral.
GGAAGUAAAGAAGAGCGCAUGGUGGAUGCCUUGGCAUGGACAGGCGAUGAAGGACGCGAUAAGCUGCGAAAAGCCACGGGGAGCUGCACCAAAGCGUCGAUCCGUGGGUCUCCGAAUGGGGCAACCCAGCAGGUUGAAGACCUGUUACUCCGCGCUGAAUACAUAGGCGCGGUAGAGCGAACCCGGGGAACUGAAACAUCUAAGUACCUGGAGGAAGAGAAAUCAAUAGAGAUUCCGCUAGUAGUGGCGAGCGAACGCGGAAGAGCCCAAACCCAUCUGGUUACGGCCAGAUGGGGGUUGUAGGGCCGCAGACGGUACCGUACGUCGAAGUCGAAGCUUCUGGAAAGGAGCACCACAGCAGGUGACAGUCCUGUAGGCGUAAGACAAGCGGACCAGCGGAUACCCUGAGUACCACGGGACCGGAGAAAUCCUGUGGGAAUCUACCAGCACCAUCUGGUAAGGCUAAAUACUCGUCCAUGACCGAUAGCGAACCAGUACCGUGAGGGAAAGGUGAAAAGCAAGCUUAGUAAGCUAGUUAAAAGUACCUGAAACCAUGCGCUUACAACCAGUCGGAGCCCCUUCGUGGGGUGACGGCGUGCCUUUUGCAUAAUGACCCUACGAGUUACGCCUCACUGGCAAGGUUAAGGUGUUCAGCACCGGAGCCGUAGCGAAAGCGAGUCUGAAUAGGGCGCUGAGUCAGUGGGGGUAGACGCGAAACCAAGUGAGCUACCCUUGGCCAGGUUGAAGCGUGGGUAAGACCACGUGGAGGACCGAACCGAUAAGCGUUGAAAAGCUUCCGGAUGAGCUGAGGGUAGGGGUGAAAGGCCUAUCAAACUUGGAGAUAGCUCGUACUCCCCGAAAUGUAUUUAGGUACAGCGUCGACCGUGUCUGCUGGAGGUAGAGCACUGGUUGGGCUAGGGCCCUUCACCGGGUACCAAACCCUGUCAAACUCCGAAUGCCAGUAUGAUUGAGGUCGGCAGUAAGGGCGCGGGUGAUAAGAUCCGUGUCCGAGAGGGAAACAACCCAGACCGACAGCUAAGGUCCCCAAGUCUAUGCUAAGUUGAUCAAAGGGGGUCGGACUGCAGUGACAACCAGGAUGUUGGCUUAGAAGCAGCCAUUCAUUUAAAGAGUGCGUAAUAGCUCACUGGUCGAGCGGUCCGGCAUCGAAAAUUUUCGGGCAUCAAGCAUAGCACCGAAGCUUCGGACUCAAGUUUCUUGAGUGGUAGGGGAGCAUUCCAGUCUGCGCUGAAGCGGUUUCGUGAGGAGCCGUGGAGCGUCUGGAAAAGAAAAUGUAGGGAUGAGUAACGAUAAGACAGGAGAAUAACCUGUCCGCCGUAAGCCUAAGGGUUCCUGCUCAACGUUAAUCGGAGCAGGGUUAGUCGGGUCCUAAGCCGAGGCCGAAAGGCGUAGGUGAUGGCAAGCCGGUCAACAUUCCGGCACCCGCCAAAGGCGUUAACUCAAGGCGUGACGCAGGAGCGUAAGGUCCGCGACCUGACGGAUGGUCGUUGAAGUGCGUAGGGCGAUCGGUAGGCAAAUCCGCCGGUCAUACAGCCUGAAACACGACAGUAGGGGAAGCCUUCGGGCGGAACCAUAGUGGCCCCAAGCAUGCUGCCAAGAAAAGCGUCGUGAGUUGUCGAGGCGGCCCGUACCGUAAACCGACACAGGUAGGCGAGGAGAGUAUCCUAAGGCGCUCGAGUGAUGCACAGCUAAGGAACUCGGCAAAUUGGCCUCGUAACUUCGGGAGAAGAGGCGCCCUCCCCCAUUAAAAGCAAGGGAGGGCCGCAGUGAAAAGGCCCAGGCGACUGUUUAGCAAAAACACAGCUCUCUGCAAACUCGUAAGAGGACGUAUAGGGAGUGACACCUGCCCGGUGCCGGAAGGUUAAGGAAGGGGGUUAGCGCAAGCGAAGCUCUUGACCGAAGCCCCGGUAAACGGCGGCCGUAACUAUAACGGUCCUAAGGUAGCGAAAUUCCUUGUCGGGUAAGUUCCGACCUGCACGAAUGGUGUAACGAUCUGGGCACUGUCUCAGCUGUGCGCUCGGUGAAAUUGUGGUGCCGGUGAAGACGCCGGCUACCCGUAGCGGGACGGAAAGACCCCAUGCACCUUUACUGCAGCCUGGCAUUGACUUUGACCAAAGUAUGUGUAGGAUAGGCGGGAGGCGAUGAAGCAGCGGCGCCAGCCGUUGUGGAGCCAACCUUGAAAUACCGCCCUUGCUUUGGUUGAAGCCUAACCCACAGCCGUUAUCCGGCUGGGGAACAGUGUCAGGUGGGUAGUUUGACUGGGGCGGUCGCCUCCUAAAAAGUAACGGAGGCUUUCAAAGGUACCCUCAGCACGGUCGGUAAUCGUGCGCAGAGCGUAAAGGCAUAAGGGUGCUUGACUGCAAGACAUACAGGUCGAGCAGGUGCGAAAGCAGGACUUAGUGAUCCGGUGGUUCCUCAUGGAAGGGCCAUCGCUCAAAGG